This 558-nucleotide long non-coding RNA is filed under the name Homo sapiens (human). Its description in RNAcentral is "HSALNT0395521". Lineage: Eukaryota; Metazoa; Chordata; Mammalia; Primates; Hominidae. The record is from RNAcentral.
ACAUGGCGAGACGCACAUCUCUGCCUUUAAAAAUGUGGCGCGUUUACCCUAUUUUAAAAAAGUUUUAAGUUUUAGCCAACCGGGAUCAGCUUAGAUUGUGGGCGUCCAACCCCAGCCAACAGGGAAAGGACAGAGGAACAGAAGCUCCCUUCCUUUGUCCCGUGUGCUCUGGAGAUUGCAUCCCACGCAGGCAGCCCCCUUCCGUACAAGAGAGGCUGGCGGUUACCUUUCUUGGGGAGACGCGUCCGACUGCUUCAUUGUGGGGGCCUCAGGAGCGGAGGAUCGGGUCCCGCCCGAGGUGACGCGUAAACCCAGACUCUCAGCAACGCGGGUAGGAAGGACCCUUGAAGUUCCGCGGCGACCACGUCGGCUGAAACCAGCAGCCCAGGACAAGUGGACCAGCCAGCAAGACCCAGACCAUCCAAACCGGCUGAUCCUACGACAGGACCCAGAUGCCAGUGAAAGUGACCACAGCCCUGCUCUAGUCACCCCGGAAGCUGACCAGUCUACGCACGGCCGAAGCUUCGUCAAGGAAGUAAAUGUAGUUAGAAAUCUUAA